CGGCGUGCUUAACACAUGCAAGUCGAGCGGAAAGGCCACUUCGGUGGUACUCGAGCGGCGAACGGGUGAGUAACACGUGAGUAAUCUGCCCCUGGCUUUGGGAUAGCCACCGGAAACGGUGAUUAAUACCGAAUAUGACCACGUACUGCAUGGUGUGUGGUGGAAAGUUUUUCGGCCAGGGAUGUGCUCGCGGCCUAUCAGCUUGAUGGUGAGGUAAUGGCUCACCAUGGCUUCGACGGGUAGCCGGCCUGAGAGGGUGACCGGUCACACUGGGACUGAGACACGGCCCAGACUCCUACGGGAGGCAGCAGUGGGGAAUAUUGGACAAUGGGCGGAAGCCUGAUCCAGCAACGCCGCGUGAGGGAUGACGGCCUUCGGGUUGUAAACCUCUUUCAGUACCGACGAAGCGCAAGUGACGGUAGGUACAGAAGAAGCACCGGCCAACUACGUGCCAGCAGCCGCGGUAAUACGUAGGGUGCGAGCGUUGUCCGGAAUUAUUGGGCGUAAAGGGCUCGUAGGCGGUUUGUCGCGUCGGGAGUGAAAAAGCCGUGCUUAACACGGNGCUMGCUUUCGAUACGGGCAGACUAGAGGUAUGCAGGGGAGAACGGAAUUCCCUGGUGUAGCGGUGAAAUGCGCAGAUAUCAGGAGGAACACCGGUGGCGAAGGCGG
RNAcentral lists this ribosomal RNA (669 nucleotides) under actinobacterium GWS-AG-H266. RNAcentral's name for it is "bacterial SSU rRNA". It matches the Rfam family "Bacterial small subunit ribosomal RNA", at positions 40 to 724 of the family's 1533-position model. The record is from RNAcentral. Lineage: Bacteria; Bacillati; Actinomycetota; Actinomycetes.